CCUACGGGUGGCAGCAGUGGGGAAUAUUGCACAAUGGGGGAAACCCUGAUGCAGCGACGCCGCGUGUGUGAAGAAGUACUUCGUUUUGUAAAGCUCUAUCAGCAGGGAAGAAAAUGACAAUACCUGUGUAAUAACCCCCGGAUAACUCCGUCCCAGCAACCGCGGUCAUACGGAGGGGGCAAGCGUUAGCCGGAAUUACUGGGUGAAACGGGAGCGUAGACGGCAGGGCAAGUCUGGAGUGAAAGGCGGGGGCUCAACCCCCGGACUGCUCUGGAAACUGUACGGCUGGAGUGCAGGAGAGGGAAGUGGAAUUCCGAGUGUAGCGGUGAAAUGCGUAGAGAUUAGGAGGAACACCAGUGGCGAAGGCGGCUUACUGGACUGUAACUGACGUUGAGGUGCGAAAGCGUGGGGAGCAAACAGGAUUAGAUACCCUUGUAGUC
RNAcentral lists this ribosomal RNA (440 nucleotides) under uncultured bacterium. RNAcentral's name for it is "partial 16S ribosomal RNA". It matches the Rfam family "Bacterial small subunit ribosomal RNA", at positions 338 to 795 of the family's 1533-position model. The record is from RNAcentral.